Molecule: ribosomal RNA, 1254 nt
Filed under: Triticum aestivum (bread wheat)
Lineage: Eukaryota; Viridiplantae; Streptophyta; Magnoliopsida; Poales; Poaceae
Description: partial small subunit ribosomal RNA
Source: RNAcentral
CCUCCAAGUUCGGUCGACUCUAAAGUCGGUGCAAAACCACCUAAAGAACGUCGUUGAAAUCUCUUAGAACACAGAUACGACCUACACCUUUGUGUCCGAAAACACUCCUAUAAACUCCAAACAUAGUCUACCGAUAUUGUAGAUAAAAACGUGUAGUGUUGACCUACGUUUAGAGACCCAUAGAUAAAGAAACAAAUUGACAAAUCAGUUGGAAAACCCUAAAGGUUAAUUUGUUAACUAUACGUGUAGAUCUACGUUAAGACUUUUCUUGUACACAGACUUCACUAUCUAGUUAACUAUACAUGUUUCAAGGUUGACUCUAUACUUUAUACGUGUACUUGUCUUGACCUGUUCGUGUUUAACGUAUGUAGUAAUGAGUUUAUUAGACCUGUUCGUGUUCGUAACUUAGGACAGGGUAUAGGUUACUUUACAAAAGUACCUCUAUUAGAAGAGGCUAAGGAGAAAAUACAUAUGUGAAACACGCAUCUGUAAUCUAAUGUCAACAUCGCUGUUUUUACAUAUGGUCAUCACCUCUAUCUUAAUCACGAUGAAGAAACCGACUUAGUGUUUCCGUUGUGAGAAAAAACACUAUUCACCCUCAUAUGAAAGAAUCAACGACUAGUGACUUACUAAGAAUAAACUGUGUUAUAACCCCACUUAUGCAAACACCCAUGUUAUUUAUAAUCAUAUGACAAGACCCAUGUUUUGGUCCUUGUGCUUACUUCACUUACAAACUUAUAAUUUUUGGUAGCACUUUAUGUAAGUCGAGACUUAUCGUUUCGCUUCUUCCAGACAUUAUCGUUUUCCCGGUAUAUAGUACUUCAACUAGGAUUAAUGGAACACUAUGUCAGUCGACACACAGACGAAGCAAUCAAUCCGGUAACUAGAGCCGUCGCCGUUAAAAAAAAGGGUAGUGUACCGAGUGGUUGAACUAGAAGACGCCCUUGGAAUACAUUCUUGUCCGGACCGUUUUCUUCAUGCCUAGUAAACUAAGACUCUAUUUUCCUCUUCUUCUUCCACGGCUUCCCUUACUCGUUGUUCAGACUUACCUGCCCAAUUAUGAGAACGACGUCUUUCUAACAUGUGGGAACGAUCACUAACACGGUUAGAGUUAAGUCUGUGUAAUGAAAAACUACAUACGACACCCUGACCUUGUUAAACGGCAAAACCCUUCUUUGAAGAAAAGACUACGUUGAUUACCCCUUUAUGUUUUUUGUGUACUACAACUAAUGAAACUCGGAAACUCAAUCUUCC